Molecule: long non-coding RNA, 349 nt
Filed under: Bos indicus x Bos taurus (hybrid cattle)
Lineage: Eukaryota; Metazoa; Chordata; Mammalia; Artiodactyla; Bovidae
Description: lncRNA (ENSBIXG00005018447.1)
Source: RNAcentral
GGAAGGACAAGCCUAGAACAGGAUAAAAAAUCGAUCCGGAAAUGCUGUAAUGGGUCCACAGCUAAGUUAUCUCAAGGACCAAAGCUAUUUGAAUCACAACUGGAAACUACCGAGGGAUUGUUCCUUCUCUGGGCUCCAGUGAAAGGCAGUGGUCAUCCUUGUCAUUCAAGAACAAGAGGGGACAACAGAGUGCCAAAAACAAGUGCUGCUUUUGGUGGAGAACAAAACUUCUGGUUUAAAAGAAGAUAAUAGAACAAUUAAGCUAUUUUUUUUACUUACAUUGACCAGCUUGACAAGCAAAGAUCUUUUCUAGGAUGAAAAAAUGUGUCUUUGUUUUCACUUGUGUUAG